Molecule: long non-coding RNA, 1156 nt
Organism: Rosa chinensis
Lineage: Eukaryota; Viridiplantae; Streptophyta; Magnoliopsida; Rosales; Rosaceae
Exons: 3
Source: RefSeq, a predicted model, not a curated record
CGAGGCCCCCUAAAACCUAAUUGACAAAUCCGAGCCUUCAACCCAUCCUUGGAGUGGAAUCGUCGAGGUCGCGAUAGAGCAUCGGUCGUGGUAAUCGAAUUCCGGCAAUCUGGUUUCGUAGUGAGUAUUAGAGUUUAGACAGAAGAUUGGAGGUGUGACGGGGAGGAAGAUUCCGAUGGCGGACGGGGAAAACUAAAUUGGGCACGGCGUGCGACAAACGAACCAAGUCUGAUCGGAUUAAGUCCAGUAAGCCGAUCAUCUUCAUUGCGAGAGCAGAGAGCUGGGUCAUCUUCAUGCCGCAAAGUGCUGCCGUCAGCUGCGCCUCACCUUGCCCGAUCGGAUCUCCACCUCCCGACAAGAGCAAGGGAUAGGGGCUAUGCCGACUGCGGAUAAGUAUUACAGACCUUGUACCUAUAGUCUUGAAUUUCCUUGUAGAUCUUUCAGUCUUUAAUUUCUGGCUAAAAGUAUAUCCUAACUUCAACUCGAUCAAGAAAAUGGUUACUAUAUACUGAGGAAAUGUAAACGUAGAAGGUUGUUGCCAGAUAAUCUGGUAUGUGUUAACAACUUACUGACUUGGUUUGAUUGGAUGCAUGUAUAUGAGCAUGUUUCAUUUUGAGGAUUUAGUUCAUUUUGCUUGCUUCACAUAUAACAAUUGGAGGAGAUUAAUCUGCUGGAAGUACAAUGGAGGUUUUGCUGAUAUGCCGACCAACCAUUAAGGCAAAUACAACCUUAUAUAUAGAGGCUGCAAUUUCAGCAUUAUCAAGGGGUUAAGCAAACUGCACCUAAAGGGCAUCUUCAGGAAUGCUGGACCACAUUAUUGUGAAACAAGUGUUUGAAGCUACCCUUGAAGCAGAUAGCGGCUGUUUCAGUCAUGGAUUCACCUUACCAACUAAUCCGUUUGAUCCAAAUGUUGAUAAAAAGCAGAGGAUUUAUGCAGGCAAAGAGACUGCUGGAGGUUUAAAGGUGGUAGUUUGCAUAUGUAACUUGAUUGCUGGAAGAUCCCACUCCCUGCUGAAUUCGUUUUUGCAGAAGAGUCUUAGUUCAAUCACUAUUUGUUAAAACAAUUUUAUUCCUUUCAAAAAUAUAUGCAAUGUCAUUGUAUAAUAUAAUAAAGUAAGCUCAUGUUAAGGGUUUAAAAUAUUUAAGCAGACAAGAA